Molecule: ribosomal RNA, 253 nt
Filed under: uncultured bacterium
Lineage: Bacteria
Description: partial 16S ribosomal RNA
Rfam family: Bacterial small subunit ribosomal RNA
Source: RNAcentral
UACGUAGGGUGCGAGCGUUAAUCGGAAUUACUGGGCGUAAAGCGUGCGCAGGCGGUUCGUUGUGUCCGUUGUGAAAGCCCCGGGCUUAACCUGGGAACUGCGAUGGAAACUACCAAGCUGGAGUACGGUAGGGGCAGAGGGAAUUUCCGGUGGAGCGGUGAAAUGCAUUGAGAUCGGGAAGAACACCAACGGCGAAAGCACUCUGCUGGGCCGAAACUGACACUGAGAGACGAAAGCUAGGGGAGCAAAUGGG